Molecule: ribosomal RNA, 253 nt
Filed under: uncultured bacterium
Lineage: Bacteria
Description: partial 16S ribosomal RNA
Rfam family: Bacterial small subunit ribosomal RNA
Source: RNAcentral
UACAGAGGUCUCAAGCGUUGUUCGGAUUCAUUGGGCGUAAAGGGUGCGUAGGCGGCGCGGUAAGUCGGGUGUGAAAUCUCGGAGCUUAACUCCGAAACUGCAUUCGAUACUGCCGUGCUUGAGGACUGGAGAGGAGACUGGAAUUUACGGUGUAGCGGUGAAAUGCGCAGAUAUCAGGAGGAACACCGGUGGCGAAGGCGCCACUCUGGGCCGGUACUGACGCUGAGGAGCGAAAGCGUGGGUAGCAAACAGG